GGCUCUAAUUGUCUCUCUUCAGAAGCAUUGUUUUGGUUGGCGAGAAUUUCGUAAAAAUAUCACCGUACAGCACCCUACAAUCAAUAAGGGCGAUCUUUCAUAAAAGCUAUAGCAAUAUUAUUGUUUGGAUGUGGAAAAGUGGGCAGCUAUCUGGUGAUUAUUCUAUUUCAAGCCUGAGAAUCUGCUCACUCGCUGAAAGCUGUGGAUAACAAGAGCAGAAACCGAAUUUUCACUCUUGGAUCAAGACGACACUUUAGGUCAGGAGCCAUUUAGGGUUAACACGCAUAAAAAGAAGAAGUGAGGUGAACGGUGGAGCUUAUCUGUCUCUUCUGACGAGGAUAGAGGUCCAUUCAAUUACUCAGUUAUGAAGGUUUCGGCAAUGCCGUGGUGAAAAUGUUCCUCUAUUUAGCUGCUUGGCACGUUAAAGGAUAUCAUGAAUUUUUCAUUAAAAUGAAAGGAGAAGUCGGAAGAAACUUUGACCUCAGGUGAGUUACAAAAUAUAGAUGUAAGGAUGUAAAUAAUUCUCCUUCUCGACUCAGUCACCAUAUAUGGAGGAGUCACUAUUUAGUUUAUUUGAUAAUGGUUAAAGAUUUUCCUUUAAUCCCAACCGCACCUAUUUGAACUAGAAGCCUCAACUUAAUCAUUCAGAGUUGAAAUAAACCAUUUUUUAUAAUGCAGUCAUCGCAAAGAAUACAACCACGUAAGAUAACGCGUGAACAUGAAUUCAAAUUGAAAACAGCAAAUUGAAAAUGCGUCAAAGCUUGCACCCCACCGAGAAAGUCCCUCGGCUGAUGAAUCUCUGUUCUUGAUAA
Molecule: unclassified non-coding RNA, 812 nt
Filed under: Stylophora pistillata
Lineage: Eukaryota; Metazoa; Cnidaria; Anthozoa; Scleractinia; Pocilloporidae
Description: tyramine/octopamine receptor-like, transcript variant X3
Source: RNAcentral